Molecule: long non-coding RNA, 1897 nt
Organism: Vombatus ursinus (common wombat)
Lineage: Eukaryota; Metazoa; Chordata; Mammalia; Diprotodontia; Vombatidae
Source: Ensembl
UAUUUGUAAAAAGCACUCUGUACAGUCCCUGGUACACAGUUUAUUGUUAUUCAGUCAUUUCAGUCAUGUCUGACUCUUCGUGACUCCAUUUGGGGUUUUCUUGGCAGAGAUACUAGAGUGGUUUGCCAUUUCCUUCUCCACCUCAUUUUACAGAUGAGGAAAUUGAGGCAAACAGGGUGAAGUGACCUGCCCAAAGUCACACAGUUAGGAAGGGUAUGAGGCCAGAUUUAAGUCUUCCUGACUCCAGGCCCCGCACUCUAUCCACUUCACCAUCUAGUUGCCUCCUGGCACACAGUAGGCACCAUAUAAAUGCUUAUUCUCUUCCUCCCCAUCUGAUCCUCCAGGGAUAGAAAAAACCCUUCUCAGUCCAGAUUGAGUUCCUGCAACUGUGAGCUUCUGAAUUGGGCUUCUGAACUGUGAGGAAAAAAAAAAGAGGAGAAAAUGGAGGAGGUGACCAAGAAGGAAGAAGGAAAAAAAGCAACAGAAAGGCCAAUGGACUCAGCCCUUGGGAGGCAGCCUGCCCCGCUCUCCCACCAAGGGGAAACCAAAGCCACUAUCCCCCAGAAGGGAGCUUUCCAGGAGCCAAAAGUGUGGGGCCCUGGAGAGGCAGAAGCAGGGGCCUAUUGCCUGCAGGAUGAGGAGGCUCUGAGCAUUCCUGGGUCAGCAGAGGAGGAUGAGGAGAGUGAGGCUGUCCAGGCCAUGGCCCUAGGGCUGGAAUUACAGUGCAGGCUUCAGCUCCACCUGGACCAGCUGGAGGCCAAGGCCAAGGCAGCAGCAGCAGCCAGGGACAGCUCAGAACCUGCCCUGGGGGCCUGUGGAAGUCUCACAGCCCCAGACUGCCCUCAGCCCUUGGCCUGCCAGGGCAGUCAUGGGGAGCCCCAUAUCAGGGCCCAAGAGUUGGGGGCUGUCCUGGGGCAAGUCCCUGAAGAGGUCAAGCUGGGUGAGAAGGGAGGCUCAGAGUCAUUUGGGGAGCCCCUUUGGGAAACAGGAUGGUAUCCUAGAGAGAAGGGGGAAAUUGCUGCUGAAGCUUGGAGAGGCCUGCCAACCUCUAAUCCUACUAGUGUCUGCCAAAGAAGGCAGCUCCACCCAAAUCUGGAGCUAAAAGGGAAGGUCCCUGAAGGAGCCAGCACCCUGCAGCUAACACAUGAGAACUGCAGCCUCAGGAACACCAGUAGCCAGAAGCCUGGAGAGGCCCUGACCCCACUUGGGGAGCAGCUGGAGAGGCAAGACCCCAGCUCCAGGACCUUUGGCAAGAGGACAGUGGCCUUCAAAGAAAGAACCUCUACAUGGAACUGAGGGCCUGGUCCCCACAAGUCCCCAAACAGCCCCCAGUUGACCUGCUAGGUCAGAGCCUUAUGGCUACUGCUGGAAUCAGGCCCUUCUGGUGGUUCACCAGGCAGCAGAGCUAAGCCUAUGAUGGACAUCUUCCCACUGUUGGAACCUGUGAGCUUCCUGAGGGAAGGGCCCCUGCUUGUAGGCCCCCGUUCACCUAUUUUUGAGUCCUUUGUCCCUGGCAGCUCCUUGGGAUCUUGGGCUGGGGAAGGGUCAGCCCUCUGCCACCAUGGGAGGAUCUAAAGCUGUGGGGGUACAGUAAGGCUGGGAUCUGCCACCCACUCACCCCAGCCCUUUAGGACCUUCCCCUGCCUUUUCAGUGUCUGGAGAGAGCUCAGAGAUCUCCUUCAGGCACAUCCUCCUCCCUGUCCCCCAUGGCCAUCUCCCCAGUUCUUUUCUCUCCCUUUCCUUUUUGCUCCCUCCUACAAGCCAUCCAGGAGACCAGAACCUUAGGAGCCAGGCCUGGCAUCCAUUGAGGGUGGCAACUUUUGAGAGAGUUGUCUUUGUAUCUCCCCAGUGAUAGAGACUUAAUAAAAAGCUUGUUGGUCAAUUGAAGUUGUGACUC